AAGCUAUCGAAGACGGAAGCAACAAAGGAUCAUUCAAUAGAGAGCGAGACCAUGGCUGAAAGUCUUGCAAGAUCUGAUCCGAACCACUUCUCGAGAUUGCCGCAAGGCCCUGUUACGCAGGUUACGCGUCAAUUAAGUGGCCAACAGCCGGUGCUGUUGGCAAACUGGGUGGAACCGCGAUCACUGAUCGUCCCUGAU
Molecule: non-coding RNA, 198 nt
Filed under: Lacticaseibacillus paracasei
Lineage: Bacteria; Bacillati; Bacillota; Bacilli; Lactobacillales; Lactobacillaceae
Source: RNAcentral